GACGAACGCUGGCGGCGCGCUUAACACAUGCAAGUCGAACGGAAAGGCCUGCUUUCCCUUGUGGAUUGCGGGUACUCGAGUGGCGAACGGGUGAGUAACACGUGAGUGAUCUACCCCCAACUUGGGUAUAAGGCUGGGAAACUGGGUCUAAUUCCCGAUAGGACUGGAGGGUGGUGGCUGUGGUGGAAAACGAUUUUCUAGUGGUUGGGGAUGAGCUCGCCGGCUAUUAGCUUGUUGGUGGGGUAAUGGAGUGCCAAGGCGGCGACGGCUAGCCGGGCUGAGGAGGCUGACCGGCACAGUGAGAAUGAGCAGCGACCCUGAGACUGAGAGAAGGCCGAGACGGGGAAGGGAGGAAGCAGUGGGGAAUACUGGAGCAGGGGCGCAAGCUUGAUGAUGCCGGGCUGCGUGAUGUAUGCAGCUCUUAGGGUCGUAAAGGCCUCCUAGUUGGGAGGAUAAUGACGGUAGUUGGAGAAGAAGCACCGGCUAACUACGUG
Molecule: ribosomal RNA, 494 nt
Filed under: uncultured bacterium
Lineage: Bacteria
Description: partial 16S ribosomal RNA
Rfam family: Bacterial small subunit ribosomal RNA
Source: RNAcentral